This is a long non-coding RNA of Malaya genurostris, 573 nucleotides long. RefSeq lists it as uncharacterized. The transcript is spliced from 2 exons. The record is from RefSeq and is a predicted model, not a curated record. Lineage: Eukaryota; Metazoa; Arthropoda; Insecta; Diptera; Culicidae.
UGAAGUUUGAAAACACUAUUCAUGUAGUCCAUAUCAACAGAAUUUAUGUAGGAAGCACAUUAUCGUAUAGUGUUUUUCAACCUACUAUGUAUUACAUUUGUGCUGACUAUACAAAUUGUCAAUGAACGGGUGUACUGUUAUUGUCACAUACAGUUACAAUUUAGCAGAAAAUUUCGAACAUGGGUAACACAUCAGUGAUGGAUUUGAACAAAAUAUUCUAUAUUGUGACUGUGUACUUUGGUAGGUCUUGCAGUGAAAUCAACAUCUCGUAUACGGUUUAUUAUUCAUUAUCGGUCGCUGUAGAAACAACAUCAAGCGAUUGAUGAAAAGGAAGAUUAUCAUUUGAUUCCCGGAUUCAAUUCGCUCGAAUCCGACGGAAAAUCGCAGGUGGGCAUCGAGGUUUGCAUCUGGACUUGGCUAAUAAUUUCUUUCCUGCUGCCAAUUCCUGCUUCAGGAAAAACUCCACCGGACAGAGCCUUGGAUCAACUGAUGCUAUCAAGCAAUGCUAAGCAAUAUUUCACCAGGUAUAUUAUCAUUUGAUUUGAUGCGAAAAUAAAAUAGAGUUUAAUGAAA